This 215-nucleotide non-coding RNA is filed under the name Brachypodium distachyon (stiff brome). RNAcentral's name for it is "Bacterial small subunit ribosomal RNA". It matches the Rfam family "Bacterial small subunit ribosomal RNA", at positions 27 to 546 of the family's 1533-position model. Lineage: Eukaryota; Viridiplantae; Streptophyta; Magnoliopsida; Poales; Poaceae. The record is from Rfam by way of RNAcentral.
GGAUGAACCGCUAAAAUAUACAUUCUGAAGUGAUUUUGUUUCAUUUUUUUGCCCAGUUUCAACACAGGCAUUGAUGAAAUGUUUUAUAUUUUGUAACGGCCUAUGGGUCGUCAACUUCUUUUCUCGGAGAAGAAACAAUGACAGUAUCUGAGGAAUAAGCAUCGGCUAACUCUGUGCCAGCAGCCACGGUAAGACAGAGGAUGCAAGCGUUAUCC